This is a non-coding RNA of Rattus norvegicus (Norway rat), 68 nucleotides long. NCBI's taxonomy places the organism in Eukaryota, Metazoa, Chordata, Mammalia, Rodentia, Muridae. The record is from Rfam.
GGGGAUUUAGCUCAGUGGUAGAGUGCUUGCCUAGCAAGCGCAAGGCCCUGGGUUCGAUCCCCAGCUCA